GGAUGUGAGGGCGAUCUGGCUGCGACAUCUGUCACCCCAUUGAUCGCCAGGGUUGAUUCGGCUGAUCUGGCUGGCUAGGCAGGUUUCCCCUUCCUCCCUCACCGCUCCAUGUGCGUCCCUCCCGAAGCUUCGCGCUCGGUCGAGGAGGACGACCUUCCCCAAGAGAGGAGAGGAACGUUCUUCGGUCAAGGGUAUACGAGUAGCUGCGCUCCCCUGCUAGAACCUCCAAACAAGCUCUCAAGGUCCUAUUGUUUUUGGGGGGGAGGAAAUAAAUGCUAUUUUGGGGUUAAAAACUUUAGAAUCCUACCGAAAGAAGAAACAAAAAGACUUC
Molecule: small nuclear RNA, 331 nt
Filed under: Neogale vison (American mink)
Lineage: Eukaryota; Metazoa; Chordata; Mammalia; Carnivora; Mustelidae
Description: Neovison vison (American mink) 7SK RNA (ENSNVIG00000016882.1)
Rfam family: 7SK RNA
About the family: 7SK was discovered as an abundant small nuclear RNA in the mid-70s but a possible function has only recently been suggested. Two independent studies have found that 7SK RNA binds the CDK9/cyclin T complex (known as elongation factor P-TEFb).
Source: RNAcentral